AAUCAACGCUGGCGGCGUGCCUCAGACAUGCAAGUCGAACGAUUAAAGCUCUCUUCGGAGAGUGCAUAGAGUGGCGCACGGGUGAGUAACACGUAAGUAAUCUACCUUCGAGUGGGGGAAUAACGUCCGGAAACGGACGCUAAUACCGCAUAAUGCAGCGGCAUCGUAAGAUGACAGUUGUUAAAGAUUUAUCGCUUGAAGAGGAGCUUGCGGCAGAUUAGCUAGUUGGUAAGGUAAUGGCUUACCAAGGCUACGAUCUGUAACCGGUCUUAGAGGACGGUCGGUCACACUGACACUGAAUAACGGGUCAGACUCCUACGGAGGCAGCAGUCGGGAAUUUUGGGCAAUGGGCGGAAGCCUGACCCAGCAACGCCGCGUGAAGGAUGAAGUAUUUCGGUAUGUAAAACUUCGAAAGAAUAGGAAGAAUAAAUGACGGUACUAUUUAUAAGGUCCGGCUAACUACGUGCCAGCAGCCGCGGUAAU
Molecule: ribosomal RNA, 483 nt
Filed under: uncultured bacterium
Lineage: Bacteria
Description: bacterial SSU rRNA
Rfam family: Bacterial small subunit ribosomal RNA
Source: RNAcentral